This 1481-nucleotide ribosomal RNA is filed under the name uncultured Bordetella sp. Its description in RNAcentral is "partial 16S-23S ribosomal RNA intergenic spacer". It matches the Rfam family "Bacterial small subunit ribosomal RNA". The record is from RNAcentral. Lineage: Bacteria; Pseudomonadati; Pseudomonadota; Betaproteobacteria; Burkholderiales; Alcaligenaceae.
AGUUCGAUUAUGGCUCAGGAUUGAACGCUGGCGGGAUGCUUUACACAUGCAAGUCGAACGGCAGCACGGACUUCGGUCUGGUGGCGAGUGGCGAACGGGUGAGUAAUGUAUCGGAACGUGCCUAGUAGCGGGGGAUAACUACGGAAAGCGUAGCUAAUACCGCAUACUGCCCUUCGGGGGAAAGCGGGGGACCCUUCGGGCCUCGCACUAUUAGAGCGGCCGAUAUCGGAUUAGCUAGUUGGUGGUAACGGCUCACCAAGGCGACGAUCCGUAGCUGGUUUGAGAGGACGACCAACCACACUGGGACUGAGACACGGCCCAGACUCCUACGGGAGGCAGCAGUGGGGAAUUUUGGACAAUGGGGAAACCCUGAUCCAGCCAGUCCCGCGUGUGCGAUGAAGGCCUUCGGGUUGUAAAGCACUUUUGGCAGGAAAGAAACGGCACGGGGAUAAUACCCGUGCAACUGACGGUACCUGCAGAAUAAGCACCGGCUAACUACGUGCCAGCAGCCGCGGUAAUACGUAGGGUGCAAGCGUUAAUCGGAAUUACUGGGCGUAAAGCGUGCGCAGGCGGUUCGGAAAGAAAGAUGUGAAAUCCCAGAGCUUAACUUUGGAACUGCAUUUUUAACUACCGAGCUAGAGUGUGUCAGAGGGAGGUGGAAUUCAAAAGGUAGGCAGUGAAAUGCGUAGAUAUGCGGAGGAACACCGAUGGCGAAGGCAGCCUCCCGAUAACACUGACGCUCAUGCACGAAAGCGUGGGGAGCAAACAGGAUUAGAUACCCCGGUAGUCCACGCCCUAAACGAUGUCAACUAGCUGUUAGCCUUCGGGCCUUGGUAGCGCAGCUAACGCGUGAAGUUGACCGCCUGGGGAGUACGGUCGCAAGAUUAAAACUCAAAGGAAUUCGACGGGGACCCGCACAAGCGGUGGAUGAUGGGAUUAAUCUGAUGCAACGCGAAAACCUUACCUACCCUUGACAUGUCUGGAAUCCCGAAGAGAUUUGGGAGUGCUCGCAAGAGAACCGGAACACAGGUGCUGCAUGGCUGUCGUCAGCUCGUGUCGUGAGAUGUUGGGUUAAGUCCUGCAGCGAGCGCAACCCCUUGUCAUUAGUUGCUACGAAAGGCACUCUAAUGAGACUGCCGGUGACAAACCGGAGGAAGGUGGGGAUGACGUCAAGUCCUCAUGGCCCUUAUGGGUAGGGCUUCACACGUCAUACAAUGGUCGGGACAGAGGGUCGCCAACCCGCGAGGGGGAGCCAAUCCCAGAACCUGAUCGUAGUCCGGAUCGCAGUCUGCAACUCGACUGCGGAAGUCGGAAUCGCUAGUAAUCGCGGAUCAGCAUGUCGCGGUGAAUACGUUCCCGGGUCUGUACACACCGCCCGUCACACCAUGGGAGUGGGUUUUACCAGAAGUAGUUAGCCUAACCGUAAGGAGGGCGAUUACCACGGUAGAUUCAUGAUCGGGGUGAAGUCGUAACAAGGUAGU